CCCACCGGGGUAUGCCUUAGUACGGCGAGUGAAGCGGCAAAAGCUCAAAUUUGAAAUCUGGUACCUUCGGUGCCCGAGUUGUAAUUUGGAGAGGGCAACUUUGGGGCCGUUCCUUGUCUAUGUUCCUUGGAACAGGACGUCAUAGAGGGUGAGAAUCCCGUGUGGCGAGGAGUGCGGUUCUUUGUAAAGUGCCUUCGAAGAGUCGAGUUGUUUGGGAAUGCAGCUCUAAGUGGGUGGUAAAUUCCAUCUAAAGCUAAAUAUUGGCGAGAGACCGAUAGCGAACAAGUACAGUGAUGGAAAGAUGAAAAGAACUUUGAAAAGAGAGUGAAAAAGUACGUGAAAUUGUUGAAAGGGAAGGGCAUUUGAUCAGACAUGGUGUUUUGUGCCCUCUGCUCCUUGUGGGUAGGGGAAUCUCGCAUUUCACUGGGCCAGCAUCAGUUUUGGUGGCAGGAUAAAUCCAUAGGAAUGUAGCUUGCCUCGGUAAGUAUUAUAGCCUGUGGGAAUACUGCCAGCUGGGACUGAGGACUGCGACGUAAGUCAAGGAUGCUGGCAUAAUGGUUAUAUGCCGCCCGUCUUGAAACACGGACCCA
This 590-nucleotide ribosomal RNA is filed under the name Saccharomyces cerevisiae (brewer's yeast). RNAcentral describes it as "eukaryotic LSU rRNA". It matches the Rfam family "Eukaryotic large subunit ribosomal RNA", at positions 65 to 669 of the family's 3401-position model. The record is from RNAcentral. Lineage: Eukaryota; Fungi; Ascomycota; Saccharomycetes; Saccharomycetales; Saccharomycetaceae.